RNAcentral lists this unclassified non-coding RNA (379 nucleotides) under soil metagenome. RNAcentral describes it as "partial contains 5.8S ribosomal RNA, internal transcribed spacer 2, and large subunit ribosomal RNA". The stretch from base 1 to 120 matches the Rfam family "5.8S ribosomal RNA", at positions 35 to 154 of the family's 154-position model. The record is from RNAcentral.
GAUGAAGAACGUAGCGAAAUGCGAUACGUAAUGUGAAUUGCAGAAUUCAGUGAAUCAUCGAAUCUUUGAACGCACAUUGCACUCCUUGGUAUUCCGAGGAGUAUGCCUGUUUCAGUAUCAUGAGCACUCUCACAUCUAACCUUUGGGUUAAAAUGUGGAAUUGGGAUGCGCCGGUUAUUAUAACGGCCCUCCUAAAAUUCAGUUCUUGGCUGCUUCCCACUACAGCAGUUUGGCCUAAUAGUUUUGAGUCUUCGAUUCAAAUCUUUGGCUAACAUUUGCUUCAGGAUGUCAGUCUUGAUAUACAGAAAUCUCAUUCAAACUUUGAUCUGAAAUCAGGUAGGGCUACCCGCUGAACUUAAGCAUAUCAAUAAGCGGAGGA